Molecule: non-coding RNA, 378 nt
Organism: Pelobates cultripes (western spadefoot toad)
Lineage: Eukaryota; Metazoa; Chordata; Amphibia; Anura; Pelobatidae
Source: the annotation of a GenBank genome assembly
GGACAGAUCUACACCAGCUCUCCAGGUAGGGAGGCUGGGUGGACAUUUAAUAUUAAUAAUUUGUGUGUAUGUGUCUGUAAGUAUAUGUGUGUCUGUAUGUUUAUGUGUGUGUCUGUAAGUAUAUGUGUGUCUGUACGUGUAUGUGUGAGUGUCUGUAAGUGUAUGUGUGUGUCUGUAUGUUUGUGUGUAUGUAUUUCUCUGUGAGUGUGUGUCUAAGUGUAUGUGUGAGUGUGUGUGUGUGAGUGUGUGUGUUUGUCUGUGAGCAGAGUACUUGUAGAAUAGAAGAAAGAAGGAACAGAGUAUUUGUAAAAAGGAGAAACAAGGCGCAAAGUACUUGUAGAAUAGGAGAAAGAAGGAGUAGAGUACUUGGAAAAAAAA